UUUUGGACAAUGGGCGAAAGCCUGAUCCAGCAAUGCCGCGUGUGGGAAGAAGGCCUUCGGGUUGUAAACCACUUUUGUACGGAACGAAACGGUCUGCUUUGAUACAGUGGGCUAAUGACGGUACCGUAAGAAUAAGCACCGGCUAACUACGUGCCAGCAGCCGCGGUAAUACGUAGGGUGCGAGCGUUAAUCGGAAUUACUGGGCGUAAAGCGUGCGCAGGCGGUUAUAUAAGACAGUUGUGAAAUCCCCGGGCUCAACCUGGGAAUUGCAUCUGUGACUGUAUAGCUAGAGUACAGUAGAGGGGGAUGGAAUUCCGCGUGUAGCAGUGAAAUGCGUAGAUAUGCGGAGGAACACCGAUGGCGAAGGCAAUCCCCUGGACCUGUACUGACGCUCAUGCACGAA
Molecule: ribosomal RNA, 403 nt
Filed under: uncultured bacterium
Lineage: Bacteria
Description: bacterial SSU rRNA
Rfam family: Bacterial small subunit ribosomal RNA
Source: RNAcentral